Long non-coding RNA from Aedes aegypti (yellow fever mosquito), 641 nucleotides. RefSeq lists it as uncharacterized. The transcript is spliced from 2 exons. Lineage: Eukaryota; Metazoa; Arthropoda; Insecta; Diptera; Culicidae. The record is from RefSeq and is a predicted model, not a curated record.
UGUUGUUUUUUGUUUUGGCUAUCUGAUUUUUACGCAGUAGCCAACAUUAGUUCCUUUGCAGAUCUCAAGCUUAAAUUUUGCUUGAGAAAGACUUGUGCCGGCUUCUGAUGAACCCACACACCCCGGCGAAACUGUUUAAUCACGUCUGCCGGGAAUAAGUCAGUGAGCGCAAGAAACUGCAACCAUCGUGUUCCGCCUACAAAGACUGCAAUUGAUAAGUACAUAAAGGAUGUUGCUGCAUUUUUUCUUAUGUGACGGUUGCCGGUUAGUUUGCAAAGAUCUUACUGGAGGGUAGUCAACAACCAAAGCAGGAGGUGACCGUACCCUCCCAGAACAAGCCUAAGUCCACUGAACGAUAACGAUGAGCGGAGUACCGAUAUGUAACAUCACCAGGAUUAUCGUCAGAAUGAAGUUAAACCGGCAGCAACUUCAUUAGCAACCAACCUUAGCAGCAUCAGCAACAAAAGGAAAUUUAAUUGAAUCCACCACGGCUGUGUGUUACGUGUUAGUUCAAGAUGCCACAGGUGACCGGAUUGGCACUAGUGAAUGAGGAGUUAUAGGACUAGGGAAGUGCAUCGUAGUUAACGCAGACAUUGGAAACAAGAUUUAAAUAAAAAAAUAUACGUCGUUACAAAACUUAA